CAGCAGCCGCGGUAUACGAAGGGUGCAAGCGUUACUCGGAAUUACUGGGCGUAAAGCGUGCGUAGUGGUUCGUUAAGUCUGAUGUGAAAGCCCUGGGCUCAACCUGGGAACUGCAUUGGAUACUGGCGAUCUGGAGUGCGGUAAGGGUACGGAAUUCCCGGUGUACAGUGAAAUGCGUAAUAUCGGGAGGAACAUCCGUGGCGAAGCGGCUACCUGGACCAGCACUGACACUGAGGCACGAAAGCGUGGGGAGCAAACAGGAUUAAUACCCUGGUA
This 276-nucleotide ribosomal RNA is filed under the name uncultured Lysobacterales bacterium. RNAcentral describes it as "uncultured Xanthomonadales bacterium partial 16S ribosomal RNA". It matches the Rfam family "Bacterial small subunit ribosomal RNA", at positions 509 to 792 of the family's 1533-position model. Lineage: Bacteria; Pseudomonadati; Pseudomonadota; Gammaproteobacteria; Lysobacterales. The record is from RNAcentral.